RNAcentral lists this ribosomal RNA (261 nucleotides) under Triticum aestivum (bread wheat). RNAcentral describes it as "partial small subunit ribosomal RNA". The record is from RNAcentral. Lineage: Eukaryota; Viridiplantae; Streptophyta; Magnoliopsida; Poales; Poaceae.
AUGCAACUGGUUAGAUCUGGGAACACUGCGAUCAACAUUAAUGGUGAGGUGGGACCCUUUUUCCAGGCGUCCAGAGGAGUAAAGCAAGGGGACCCUGUUUCUCCCUUGCUUUUCAAUCUCGCAGUUGAUGCCCUUGCGGGCAUCUUAGAUAAGGCCAAGUUGGCCGGCCACCUUAAGCGUGUUGUUAGCCACCUCAUCCCGGAUGGGGGGGUUACUCACCUGCAGUAUGCGGACGACACCAUGAUUAUGGUGGAAGAUUAA